CAGUAUGGCAUAAAUACAGGCACCAGAUUCCAUUUGAUCUUGGAUGAUAAGCAGGGUCAUUCUUGGUUAGUACUUGGGUGGGAGACCACCAAUGAAUUCCAGGUGCUGUAGACU
This 114-nucleotide ribosomal RNA is filed under the name Anolis carolinensis (green anole). Lineage: Eukaryota; Metazoa; Chordata; Lepidosauria; Squamata; Anolidae. The record is from RNAcentral.